UCCCUGGUGGCUCAGACGGUAAAGCGUCUGCCUGCAAUGCAGGAGGCCCAGGUUCGAUCCCUGGGUUGGGAA
Molecule: transfer RNA, 72 nt
Filed under: Bos taurus (domestic cattle)
Lineage: Eukaryota; Metazoa; Chordata; Mammalia; Artiodactyla; Bovidae
Also listed under: 1 other name
Rfam family: tRNA
About the family: Transfer RNA (tRNA) molecules are approximately 80 nucleotides in length. Their secondary structure includes four short double-helical elements and three loops (D, anti-codon, and T loops). Further hydrogen bonds mediate the characteristic L-shaped molecular structure. tRNAs have two regions of fundamental functional importance: the anti-codon, which is responsible for specific mRNA codon recognition, and the 3' end, to which the tRNAs corresponding amino acid is attached (by aminoacyl-tRNA synthetases). tRNAs cope with the degeneracy of the genetic code in two manners: having more than one tRNA (with a specific anti-codon) for a particular amino acid; and 'wobble' base-pairing, i.e. permitting non-standard base-pairing at the 3rd anti-codon position.
Source: Rfam by way of RNAcentral